CCACACUGGGANUGAGACACGGCCCAGACUCCUACGGGAGGCAGCAGUGGGGAAUUUUGGACAAUGGGCGAAAGCCUGAUCCAGCAAUGCCGCGUGUGUGAAGAAGGCCUUCGGGUUGUAAAGCACUUUUGUCCGGAAAGAAAUCCUUGGCCCUAAUACNGUCGGGGGAUGACGGUACCGGAAGAAUAAGCACCGGCUAACUACGUGCCAGCAGCCGCGGUAAUACGUAGGGUGCAAGCGUUAAUCGGAAUUACUGGGCGUAAAGCGUGCGCAGGCGGUUUGCUAAGACCGAUGUGAAAUCCCCGGGCUCAACCUGGGAACUGCAUUGGUGACUGGCAGGCUAGAGUAUGGCAGAGGGGGGUAGAAUUCCACGUGUAGCAGUGAAAUGCGUAGAGAUGUGGAGGAAUACCGAUGGCGAAGGCAGCCCCCUGGGCCAAUACUGACGCUCAUGCACGAAAGCGUGGGGAGCAAACAGGAUUAGAUACCCUGGUAGUCCACGCCCUAAACGAUGUCAACUAGUUGUUGGGGAUUCAUUUCCUUAGUAACGUAGCUAACGCGUGAAGUUGACCGCCUGGGGAGUACGGUCGCAAGAUUAAAACUCAAAGGAAUUGACGGGGACCCGCACAAGCGGUGGAUGAUGUGGAUUAAUUCGAUGCAACGCGAAAAACCUUACCUACCCUUGACAUGGUCGGAAUCCUGCUGAGAGGCGGGAGUGCUCGAAAGAGAACCGGCGCACAGG
RNAcentral lists this ribosomal RNA (739 nucleotides) under Burkholderia cepacia. Its description in RNAcentral is "bacterial SSU rRNA". It matches the Rfam family "Bacterial small subunit ribosomal RNA", at positions 308 to 1038 of the family's 1533-position model. Lineage: Bacteria; Pseudomonadati; Pseudomonadota; Betaproteobacteria; Burkholderiales; Burkholderiaceae. The record is from RNAcentral.